Molecule: ribosomal RNA, 433 nt
Filed under: uncultured bacterium
Lineage: Bacteria
Description: partial 16S ribosomal RNA
Rfam family: Bacterial small subunit ribosomal RNA
Source: RNAcentral
AACGAACGCUGGCGGCAUGCCUAACACAUGCAAGUCGAACGAGACCUUCGGGUCUAGUGGCGCACGGGUGCGUAACGCGUGGGAACCUGCCCUUAGGUUCGGAAUAACUCCCCGAAAGGGGUACUAAUACCGGAUAAUGUCUUCGGACCAAAGAUUUAUCGCCUUUGGAUGGGCCCGCGUUGGAUUAGCUAGUUGGUAGGGUAAAAGCCUACCAAGGCGACGAUCCAUAGCUGGUCUGAGAGGAUGAUCAGCCACACUGGGACUGAGACACGGCCCAGACUCCCACGGGAGGCAGCAGUGGGGAAUAUUGGACAAUGGGCGAAAGCCUGAUCCAGCAAUGCCGCGUGAGUGAUGAAGGCCUUAGGGUUGUAAAGCUCUUUUACCCGGGAUGAUAAUGACAGUACCGGGAGAAUAAGCUCCGGCUAACUCCGUG